GUUGGAGUGGCAGAUUCAGGUAAUUGCAAAAGGUCUAAGCCCUUUAUAAGAAAGUUCAAAUCUUCCUUCCAACU
RNAcentral lists this transfer RNA (74 nucleotides) under Nothobranchius vosseleri. RNAcentral describes it as "tRNA-Leu". It matches the Rfam family "tRNA". Rfam says of the family: Transfer RNA (tRNA) molecules are approximately 80 nucleotides in length. Their secondary structure includes four short double-helical elements and three loops (D, anti-codon, and T loops). The record is from RNAcentral. Lineage: Eukaryota; Metazoa; Chordata; Actinopteri; Cyprinodontiformes; Nothobranchiidae.